RNAcentral lists this ribosomal RNA (429 nucleotides) under Chloroflexota bacterium. Its description in RNAcentral is "Chloroflexi bacterium partial 16S ribosomal RNA". It matches the Rfam family "Bacterial small subunit ribosomal RNA", at positions 355 to 776 of the family's 1533-position model. The record is from RNAcentral. Lineage: Bacteria; Bacillati; Chloroflexota.
UAGGGAAUCUUCGGCAAUGGACGAAAGUCUGACCGAGCAACGCCGCGUGAGUGAAGAAGGUUUUCGGAUCGUAAAACUCUGUUGUUAGAGAAGAACAAGGACGUUAGUAACUGAACGUCCCCUGACGGUAUCUAACCAGAAAGCCACGGCUAACUACGUGCCAGCAGCCGCGGUAAUACGUAGGUGGCAAGCGUUGUCCGGAUUUAUUGGGCGUAAAGCGGGCGCAGGCGGUUUCUUAAGUCUGAUGUGAAAGCCCCCGGCUCAACCGGGGAGGGUCAUUGGAAACUGGGAGACAUGAGUGCAGAAGAGGAGAGUGGAAUUCCAUGUGUAGCUGUGAAAUGCGUAGAUAUAUGGAGGAACACCAGUGGCGAAGGCGGCUCUCUGGUCUGUAACUGACGCUGAGGCUCGAAAGCAUGGGGAGCAAACAGG